UGGGUGAUACAGAGGGCCGGCCGCUGGCAACAUCGGUCCAAUCCUUAAAGUCAUCCUCAGUUCGGACUGGGGUCUGCAACCCGACCCCACGAAGCUGGAUUCGCUAGUAAUCGCGCAUCAGCCAUGGCGCGGUGAAUACGUUCCCGGGCCUUGUACACACCGCCCGUCAAGCCAUGAAAGCCGGGGGGCGCCUGAAGUCCGUGACCGCGAGGGUCGGCCUAGGGUGAAACCGGUGAUUGGGGCUAAGUCGUAACAAGGUAAC
This 262-nucleotide ribosomal RNA is filed under the name uncultured bacterium. RNAcentral's name for it is "partial 16S ribosomal RNA". It matches the Rfam family "Bacterial small subunit ribosomal RNA", at positions 1231 to 1500 of the family's 1533-position model. The record is from RNAcentral.